RNAcentral lists this transfer RNA (68 nucleotides) under mouse gut metagenome. It matches the Rfam family "tRNA". From Rfam's summary of the family: Transfer RNA (tRNA) molecules are approximately 80 nucleotides in length. Their secondary structure includes four short double-helical elements and three loops (D, anti-codon, and T loops). The record is from RNAcentral. RNAcentral also lists the same sequence under 1 other name.
GGUGUAGCUCAGUUUGGCUAGAGCGCCUGAUUUGGGUUCAGGAGGCCGCAGGUUCGAGUCCUGUUACC